CGGGAUAAUACCCAACAGAACCAGGGAAAUUUAGAACUGCAUCUCCACCUUUUAAGGCUAGAGCAGCAACAUCAUAGGCGGCAGCUGCCAUCUCUGGGGUUGGAUAGGUGCCAAGCCAAAUACGAGUAGUUUUGCGAGGCUGCCGGAUUUCAGACACCCAUUUGCCACUUCGGCUGCGGAUUCCUCGAUAUAAAGGGUGCCUUUUGGGAGCGGCAGAAGCGGUGGCCAUGGCCAUGGCGGUAGGAUUGGAGUUGGAUGGUUGAGGUUGAGGAGGGUGUUUUAGGGAAGGGCUUUCACAUGGGGUUGUAGGGAUAGAGCGUGACAGAAAUGGGUCAAGUGGGUGCGGUAUAGGGGGAGAGCUAGG
RNAcentral lists this unclassified non-coding RNA (364 nucleotides) under Hevea brasiliensis (rubber tree). The record is from RNAcentral. Lineage: Eukaryota; Viridiplantae; Streptophyta; Magnoliopsida; Malpighiales; Euphorbiaceae.